AUGCUCUUUGGCAGCACAUAUACUAAAAUUGAAAUGAGAUAGAGAAGAUUAAUGUGGCACCUGCACAA
RNAcentral lists this small nuclear RNA (68 nucleotides) under Numida meleagris (helmeted guineafowl). The record is from RNAcentral. Lineage: Eukaryota; Metazoa; Chordata; Aves; Galliformes; Numididae.